Molecule: non-coding RNA, 181 nt
Filed under: Aneurinibacillus migulanus
Lineage: Bacteria; Bacillati; Bacillota; Bacilli; Caryophanales; Paenibacillaceae
Description: SAM-I sequence
Rfam family: SAM riboswitch aptamer (S box leader)
About the family: The SAM riboswitch is found upstream of a number of genes which code for proteins involved in methionine or cysteine biosynthesis in Gram-positive bacteria. The SAM riboswitch acts at the level of transcription termination control. The predicted structure consists of a complex stem-loop region followed by a single stem loop terminator region.
Source: Rfam by way of RNAcentral
CUUAUAUCCCGAGCAGGCGGAGGGACUGGCCCGAUGAAGCCCGGCAACCACACCGCGCUUCCCGUGGAAGAAGAUGCAGAGAGCGAAGAGCUCCUAAUAAGUAAAGCGCUUCCCGGACGCGAUGAACGGUGCUAACCAGCAGAACGGUAUGGCACAUACAUACUUUUCUGGAUGAUAAAGG